UGGAUCAUUUCUAAAAAUGAGGAUGACUCGUGAGAAGUAGUGGCAGCCAUUUUAAGAAGGAUAUCUUCUAUGUACUUGUAAGACUCAAAUGAACCUCCAAUCAUCAAAGAUUGGCUCAUGACGAGCACCCUUGUCACCACUUGAAACUCUCAUGCCAAGAUAGGGCGAACCCAAUUCAGCCAUGGCUUUCUCCUUUCUCUCAGUGUUCUCAUACUACUCAUUAUCAUCAUCAAUGAUACAAUCAGUGUCUUCGACGUCCAAAGGUGUGCAGUCAUUGAAGCUAUUGAUGGCUUCUUCACCCACUACAUCCUCAUCCAAACAGAGAUGGUUAGGGUAAGGAUUCCCUCUAUUUUCAUCCUCGUCUCUAUCAUCAUGAUUGUGCAUUGCAUGGAAUGGCACGAGACCAUAAUUUCCCGAGUCUUCUCUGCAUGAAGCAUAAUGAGACGCCUCAUCACGAAAUCCAUACCCAUAGGAAACGUUCUCAUAUAAGCAGAAUCCCAGAAACCCCAUGGAUCAGCUUCUUCAUUAUCAAACUGCCACCGCGUGUCACCAUUGAAGGCGCACCCUUGGCUGCUGAUUUUACAAUGCUUUUGGCAUCCUCUGAAAAGAAGAAGAAUUGGCUGAAUAAUUAUUAUUGAUGUUGAAGUGUGUAUUUAUACAAGGAGGUUUGAGAUAUUUCUCUACAAGUCAGGAAUCAGCUUACCAUAUUCUAGACUAUCCAUCUAUAAGUCAAGAAUUACAAUAGGAAAACUAACAUAUACAAAUCAUCUAUUCUUAAUAUGGAAGAUUUAGAAAGAUUGACUUUCCAACACUCCCCCUCAAGUUGGAGAGUGGAUAUCCUGCACUCCCAACUUGCGAAUCAUAGGAGCAAAAAACUCCUUUCCCAAUGGUUUAGUCAAAAUGUCUGCAAGUUGGUGCGCUGAGCUCACAUGUCUUGUAAUAAUGGAACCAUCUUGGAUCUUGUCCCUAAUAUAGUGACAAUCCAUCUCAAUGUGUCUAGUACGCUCAUGGAAAACAGGGUUGGCUGCAAUGUGCAAUGCUGCCUUGUUGUCACAAUACAGCAAGGCAGGUUCCUUAUGUAAAACACCCAAAUCUUUCAAAAGGUACCGAAGCCAUGUCAACUCACAACAAGCUCCUGUCAUUGCACGAUACUCUGCUUCGGCUGAAGAGAGUGACACUGUUUUCUGUCGCUUUGAUCUCCAAGAAAUCAGUGAAGGUCCAAGGAAUACACAGUAGCCUGUAGUGGACCUUCUAGUAAGUGGACAACCUGCCCAAUCAGAAUCACAAUAGGCUCUCAAUCUGAAAUCAUUAUUCGAAGAGAAGAACAGACCCUGACCAGGUGCAUUCUUGAGAUAACGUACAACUCUGAACGCUGCUUCCAUAUGAGUCUUUCUCGGUUGAUGCAUAAACCGGCUUAACACAUGAACUGCAUAAGUGAUAUCUGGCCUCGACACAGUUAGAUAUAUUAACCUUCCAACCAAUCUCUUAUAACGACCUUGAUCCUUGAGCAAAUCGCUCUUAUCAGACAAUUUCAAUCCUCGUUCCAUAGGUGUAUCAAUAGGGGCAGCGCCCAACAAUCCUGCAUCCUCAAUAAUCUCUAAUGCAUACUUACGUUGGGAAAUAAAAAUCCCAUUUUUAGAAGCAGAAACCUCAAUGCCAAGAAAGUAUUUUAAAUCGCCCAGAUCUUUGAGAUGAAAAUGACUAUGCAGAAAUUUUUUUGUUGUAGCAAUGCUCACAGGAUCAUUUCCAGUAAUCAGAAUAUCAUCAACAUAUAUCAAGAGGGCAGUAAAGGACUUGCCUUGUUUUUUGGUGAACAAAGAAUAAUCGGCUCGAGAUUGUGCAUAACCGGCGGAUUGAAUAGCUUCUGAGAACUUGGCGAACCACUGGCGAGAAGCUUGUUUCAGACCGUAGAGUGAUUUAUGAAGGCGACAUACCAAGUUUUCCUCCCUCUGUCGCCGAAGCCCUAGCGGCGGAGACAUAUAUAUUUCCUCAUGUAAGUCGCCAUGAAGAAAAGCGUUGUUAACAUCCAUUUGAUGAAUAGACCAGCCACGGGCUGUGGCCAAUGCAAGCAAGCAGCGGACAGAUAUGAUCUUGGCGGUGGGGGAAAAGGUAUCCUGAUAAUCGACACCUUCUAAUUGAGUAAAGCCUUUCGCUACCAAUCGUGCUUUGUAACGCUCAAUAGACCCAUCUGAACGGUGUUUAAUUUUAUACACCCAUCGACAGCCAAUCGGUGUCUUGCCAGCCGGAAGUGGAGUUAGAGACCAAGUGCCAUUAGCUUGGAGAGCUUGCAAUUCAGAACGCAUUGCCUUCUGCCACUCAGGAUGAGCGGCUGCUUCCGAAUAAGACCUGGGUUCUGUGACAGCACUAUGUUGAGCAACAAAAGAUCUAUAUGCAGGCUUAUAUCUGUGAUAAGAAACAUAAUUGGCCAGUGGAUAUCGUGUACCUUUAGUUGGACCUGGAAUCAAGGAAGACGAUUGAUUGGAGGAAACGUGGGAGCAAACAUAAUCGUGGAGCUUGAUUGGCGGGGCGAUAUGGCGGCUGGAGCGACGGAGCGGAGUGGCUGGUUUGGGUGAGUGUGUUUCUGGUGAAAAGAUGGGUGUCUCAGUUGGAGGAGCGGACGGGAUGGAUGCAAACGGUGGCCCCGGAGAAGGCGAUACUAGAGUUGUAGAAGGCGAUGGUGAAGGGUUUGGAUCAAUCUGAGAAGAAGGUUCGAUAAUGAGUUCGGAAGGUCGAGAAGGAGAGGAAAAGUCAUCAUUUUCUGUGGUGGGAGACGGUGUGCUUGUGUGGUUGGAAAGAAGAGGGGAAAGUGUGUGAGAAGUAGAGUCAAAGGAGGAAGAGAUGUCGUGGGCCACUAAGGGGAUUGGACCAGAAUUAUGGGUCAACGAAGGGAGAGUAGAGUUGGGCUUGAGAGAGACAUAAGGAAAAAUAUCUUCAUAAAAUUUGACAUCUCGGCUAGUAAAGACCUUUUUGGUUGAUAAAUCAAAUAAUUUGUAUGCUUUCUGACCAACAGGAUAACCGAUGAAGAUGGAUGGCAUGGCACGGUAAUCAAAUUUGUGAGAGGUGUGAACAUUGGUGGCAUAGGCUAAACAUCCGAAAACACGGAGAUGGGAGUAAGAAGGUGGUUUUGAGUAAAGCAAUUCAAAAGAGUUUUGAAAGACAAUAUUGGUGAAAGUAACCGAUUGAUGAUAUGUACGCAGUGAGAGCACACUCCCCCAAAAUUGAGUGGGAACUUGAGCAUGGAAUUUCAAAGCUCGGGCUACUUGUAAAAUUNUGACGAUGUUUGCGUUCCNNNNNNNNNNNNNNNNNNNNNNNNNNNNNNNNNNNNNNNNNNNNNNNNNNNNNNNNNNNNNNNNNNNNNNNNNNNNNNNNNNNNNNNNNNNNNNNNNNNNAUCGACAAUAGUGAGAAAGUAAUGGGCACCAAACAGAGAAGGGUGUCGAUAACGUCCCCAAAUGUCACAAUGAAUAAUCUCAAAAGGUUUUGUAGAAGAAAUAGCACUAGUACCAAAAGGUAAACGACUUUGCUUAGCCAAAGGACAUAUAGGGCAAGCAUUAUUGGACUGAACAGAAAAAUUCAAAAAAUUCUUGGCAAUGAAACUCAAACGAGAAGGUGAUACAUGGCCUAAGCGACUGUGCCAGAGAUCAGUGGAAGAGAUGGCGAGAUUGCAGGCUGGUUGGUUUGUGGAUGAGGAAUGGUUGGUUAAAGAUUUCUCCGUCGCUAGUGCCACCAAAUAGUAUAGUCCGUCACGUUGUUUACCCAAACCAAUCGUCCUCCUCGUAGCCAGAUCCUGCAAAAUACACAAAUAAGGGAAAAACGUCACUGAACAAUUUAGACCUCUUGUCAAACGACUAACUGAUAUUAAAUCAACUUUGAAUGUAGGCACAGAUAAGACAUCAUGCAGAUAAUAGACGGAAUUCAGAGGCAAAGUCCCUUUCGUAACGAUAUUCGCUUUUUCUCCACUAGGCAAUAAUACGGGCGGUAACGAGCAAUUUUUAUCUUUAUGCAAUAACUUAGAGGAUGAAGUAAUAUGAUCUGUCGCCCCACUAUCAAUAAUCCAAUUGCGGGAAGCGACUUUGGACAAACCUGGCUUUGUUACCGCAUUCACUUUGGAACUAGAGUUUUCAUCUUGGUUAUUAAGAAGUGACAAAAGUUGCUUGAGUUGGGCUUCUGACAAUGCAACUGCAGGUUUCCCUUCAUCUGCCUUAGAAACUUGGUUAGCCGCAGAAAAACUUUUAUUCCGAUUUGAGUUUGAGCCUAAGUUCAUUCUUGCUUUAGGAUGGUCUGGUAGGUAUCCAUGUAGUUGAAAACACUUUUGGACCCAAUGACCCAUAUCUCCACAAUACGAGCACUGGGGACGUCCUCUACCAGAACCCAUGCGGCGCCGAUCUUGAUCAAAAAAUGGUCUGCCAUCUUGUCCUUGAGAAGACCGAUUCUCCCGGAAAUUUUGAGAACCAGAGGGGCGAUUAGUCGGUUCCAUCCUUCUUGUGUUCGAUCGAUCUAUUCCGUCCUUCCAAGUUGUCGAAGACUUGCCGUUGCUGCGCACAGCCAUAGCAGCACUUGCGGCAGAUUCCGCUGCUGCGUUCGUCGAAGUGAGGAGGCGUUGCUUUUCUUCUUGAGAGAUAGAGGAGUAUGCUUGGCGGACAGAAGGAAGAGGAUUCAUCAGGAGGAUUUGCCCGCGAAUAGCACUGUAAGAUUCAUUCAAACCCAUCAGAAAUUGCAUCAAUUUUUGUUGAUCUUGUUGUGCCCCAUGUGCUGCAGCGUUGUAGGAAGCCAGUUCAUCCCACAGGCCUUUCAAUUUUGUGUAAUAGGCAGAGACAGAGAGUUGCUCUUGUCGAAGACAAGCAAUAUCUCGCUGAAUUUCAAAGAUGCGAGGCGCAUUGCUCUGAGAGAAUCGCUCACAGAGAUCUUCCCAAACUUCAUGAGCAGUAGAAUAAUAAAUUACACUGUCCGCAAUUUCUGGAUUGAGAGUAUUGACGAUCCAAGAGUGAACCAUGUCGUUACACCGUGACCAAGUCGCAUAACCUUCAGGAUCAAUUUCUUCUGAAGGAGCCUUGAUCGAGCCAUUAACAAAACCCAAUUUGUUCUUGGAGUUUAAAGCUAGAAUCAUAGCCCUUUUCCAAGCCGAAUAAUUGUCUCCAUUCAAAGAUUUGGAAAUCAAAACCAAACCUGGGUGAUCUGAAUGGUGAGUGAAAUAGGGAUUGGAGAGAUCUGCCUUUGAGAAAUUCGUAGGAAUUUCUGAUUUUGCCAUGAUGAUUGAAGAAAAGAGAUGCUACACGAGAGAGAUUAGAGUGCAGCAAUGAAUCAGGAUUUUAGUCCUGCUCUGAUACCAUGAAAAGAAGAAGAAUUGGCUGAAUAAUUAUUAUUGAUGUUGAAGUGUGUAUUUAUACAAGGAGGUUUGAGAUCUUUCUCUACAAGUCAGGAAUCAGCUUACCAUAUUCUAGACUAUCCAUCUAUAAGUCAAGAAUUACAAUAGGAAAACUAACAUAUACAAAUCAUCUAUUCUUAAUAUGGAAGAUUUAGAAAGAUUGACUUUCCAACAUCCUCUGCUCUUCGAUAGGAUUAUGGGACCUCAGGCAUGUGAGAAAAUGGGCAACAAAUGGGUAAUGCCAGGAAGGAGAGGUGGAUAUGAACAUGAAGGACAAGCGAUGUCAUGGAUGAAGUGUGGCAACGGGUGGAGAGAGAAAAGGUGGUGAGUAAAGCGGUGUGUUUGAAUGGGGUAUGAGACAUGAAUUUAAGAGUGAAGAUGUGAGUGUGUGGAGUGAAAGCAUGAGCGUGAGUGGUGAUGAGUUUGAAUGGGUUUGGGGUGGCGGUGUAGAGAGAGAA
RNAcentral lists this long non-coding RNA (5821 nucleotides) under Vitis vinifera (wine grape). RNAcentral's name for it is "long non-coding RNA (VVIN_LNC003055)". The record is from RNAcentral. Lineage: Eukaryota; Viridiplantae; Streptophyta; Magnoliopsida; Vitales; Vitaceae.